UACUACAAACCAAUAUAUCAAGUUGUCGUUUCCUAACAUUUCAAUUGGAAACAAUAAAAUAUAUAAAGUGUAGGCAUUUGUCUUUAAGGUGAACUUAAGCGAAGAAAGACAAAAUAUAAUAACAGGAAAUGCCCUAUUGAGACAACGCGUGAGGACACAAAGAUCAUUGGCAUCAUACGAUCGAUUCGCAUUCCAAUAUGAUCCCAUUGAGAACUACAGUGAUUAUGAAAAUUUAGAUAUUGGACCAAUGACGACGAUUUUGCAAUGUGUUAAAAUUCAAAAGAGAAACGGCUAGAUUAUGCUUCGCAAGUGGAAAAGUCAAACUGGAUCCAUUACUUAUCAAAUAAAAAAAAAAAAA
Molecule: long non-coding RNA, 358 nt
Organism: Drosophila serrata
Lineage: Eukaryota; Metazoa; Arthropoda; Insecta; Diptera; Drosophilidae
Source: RefSeq, a predicted model, not a curated record